UUCAUCUACCAGCAUGAAGGAUUCAGGGAGCUCUAAAGGUCAGAUUUCCAGGCUCAUUCACAUCAAGUUUUUAAUCUGUGUUUCCAGUUCCUAUUCAUCUCUAUGAGGGCCCCGACCUUUAACCCAUUCAAAAAGCCAACUGACUACCCAAAUUUUACCUUUACCACUACCCCACACUGCUUACCCACCCUCCUAACAAGCAAACCCAUUGCUCUGAACCUUCAAUCUGUACCUCAUGUCAAUCAGCCACAGCCUUACUAAAUGAUGCUACCUGUGCCAA
Molecule: long non-coding RNA, 280 nt
Filed under: Pan troglodytes (chimpanzee)
Lineage: Eukaryota; Metazoa; Chordata; Mammalia; Primates; Hominidae
Description: long non-coding RNA NONPTRT009184
Source: RNAcentral